GAGUUUGAUUAUGGCUCAGGACAAACGCUGGCGGCGUGCUUAACACAUGCAAGUCGAACGAUGAAACGGAACGGAAAUUUUCGGAUGGAAGUUCUGUGGAUUAGUGGCGGACGGGUGAGUAAUGCAUGAAGAACCUGCCUUUCACAUAGGAAUAGCCUCGGGAAACCGGGAUUAAUACCAAAUGACACUCCGAGAUCGCAUGUUUUUGGGGUUAAAGAUUUUAUCGGUGAAAGAUGGCUUCAUGUCCCAUUAGCUGGUUGGUGAGGUAACGGCUCACCAAGGCGACGAUGGGUAGCCGGCCUGAGAGGGUGAACGGCCACAUUGGAACUGAGACACGGUCCAAACUCCUACGGGAGGCAGCAGUGGGGAAUAUUGCACAAUGGAGGAAACUCUGAUGCAGCGACGCCGCGUGAGCGAUGAAGGUCUUCGGAUCGUAAAGCUCUGUCCUAAGGGACGAUAAAGACGUACCUAGGAGGAGUCCGG
Molecule: ribosomal RNA, 483 nt
Filed under: Tissierella sp. canine oral taxon 029
Lineage: Bacteria; Bacillati; Bacillota; Tissierellia; Tissierellales; Tissierellaceae
Description: bacterial SSU rRNA
Rfam family: Bacterial small subunit ribosomal RNA
Source: RNAcentral